CUUCAGCGAUCCGAGCCACAGCGGAGCAUCCUCCGGGCGGUCCUGACCAUAAGUAGUGAGGAUGGCCUGGGCUUC
Molecule: antisense RNA, 75 nt
Filed under: Streptomyces sp. S4.7
Lineage: Bacteria; Bacillati; Actinomycetota; Actinomycetes; Kitasatosporales; Streptomycetaceae
Description: ASpks TB sRNA
Rfam family: ASpks TB sRNA
Source: Rfam by way of RNAcentral